AAUCUGCAGGACAGUAGCUCUACAGGAGCAGGGUUGGAGACCCCUGCCCUAAACCAUACCCAACCCUCUAGUGUUCAUUUAUUUUGGAAACUGCAGUGAUAUGUGCUUAUUGGUACGUUUUUGGCGUCUCGCUAAAAAGUGCACCUAGGUACAUUUAUGCCAUGAGACCAGCUCCUCUGAAGAGUUCUGGAGCAGAUGUUCCUCUCCAUGUCAGUUUGAAGGUUGUUGGGGAAAGCUAAUUUUACCACAGGGAGCAAACUGACAUAAUUUGCCAGAUGUCCUGCUAUUAAAAGUUUGGAUGCAAGAACUAGCUGUUUGUGAAGCAGAGGGAGAAACCGGUUGCCUCUUAGAACCCCAAGACCAUUUCACAUCUGGCUUUAUGUGCUAUAGGAUAUUUUCUGCUGUUAUGCACAACAGAAUAAAUACAAGGCGUAAUUUACUUUAAGAGCGUUUUUCUGGGUUC
Cyprinus carpio (common carp) is the source of this 463-nucleotide long non-coding RNA. RefSeq lists it as uncharacterized. The record is from RefSeq and is a predicted model, not a curated record. The transcript has 3 exons. Lineage: Eukaryota; Metazoa; Chordata; Actinopteri; Cypriniformes; Cyprinidae.